Molecule: ribosomal RNA, 404 nt
Filed under: uncultured bacterium
Lineage: Bacteria
Description: bacterial SSU rRNA
Rfam family: Bacterial small subunit ribosomal RNA
Source: RNAcentral
ACAGGGCUUGACAUCCUACGAACCCAAAGGAAACUUUGGGGUGCCCUUCGGGGAGCGUAGAGACAGGUGGUGCAUGGUUGUCGUCAGCUCGUGUCGUGAGAUGUUGGGUUAAGUCCCGCAACGAGCGCAACCCCUGUGUUUAGUUGCUAACGAGUAAUGUCGAGCACUCUAGACAGACUGCCGGUGAUAAACCGGAGGAAGGUGGGGAUGACGUCAAAUCAUCAUGCCCCUUAUGUUUUGGGCUACACACGUGCUACAAUGGCCGGUACAGACGGAAGCGAAGCCGCGAGGUGGAGCCAAUCCGAGAAAGCCGGUCUCAGUUCGGAUUGCAGGCUGCAACUCGCCUGCAUGAAGUCGGAAUCGCUAGUAAUCGCAGGUCAGCAUACUGCGGUGAAUACGUUCCC